Heterocephalus glaber (naked mole-rat) is the source of this 577-nucleotide long non-coding RNA. The record is from Ensembl. Lineage: Eukaryota; Metazoa; Chordata; Mammalia; Rodentia; Bathyergidae.
GCAGAAGUGAUGGCGUGUGACUCCAAGGCUUGGUCAUAAAGGACACUGCGACUUCUCCCUCCCUCGCUCUUUCUUGGAUCACUCACUUUGCAUGAGUCCAGCCAGCAUAUGUGAGGAGACUCAGGAGGCCCUGACAAUCACAGACACACACAACAGACUCAGGAUAAAAUACAUGGGGGCCUGUGUCGCCUGGAGCCUGGCACUGGGAGCUGUGUCUGAGCACAGUUUCGCUGCCAACUGGGAGACGCCUGUGCUUCCAGAGCAGGGAGGAUUUCAGGGUACCAGGGAUCAAACUCAGGACCUUGGCUUGCAAGGCAGGUGCGGCGCCACUGAGCUAAAUCCCCAGACCUGAGUUGGACCUUUUUGAAAGGCAGGGUUACGGAAAGGCUGCCAGCAACAACAGCAGCAGCGUACUUCUUUGUUCCUAUCCAUGGAGGUAGACUAUACAUCCUUCCUUCCUGUCUGAUUAGGUCACUGUCAGCUAUGUCCCUAUCCCUGGGGCAUCCAGUCUCUCAGAGAACUUACAUCUUUGAUGCAAUCAUUGGCAAGAAGGAUGGGAUGGCAGUGAGUGUCGAAG